GGCAACUUCGGUUAGUGGUUAUUCCGUUGGCCUGCUAAGCCAAUGCCUUCGGGCGCGUGAGUUCGAAUCUCACAGUUGUCG
Molecule: transfer RNA, 81 nt
Filed under: Pyricularia oryzae 70-15
Lineage: Eukaryota; Fungi; Ascomycota; Sordariomycetes; Magnaporthales; Pyriculariaceae
Also listed under: 4 other names
Description: tRNA-Ser (GCT) (tRNA-Ser-GCT-1-1)
Rfam family: tRNA
About the family: Transfer RNA (tRNA) molecules are approximately 80 nucleotides in length. Their secondary structure includes four short double-helical elements and three loops (D, anti-codon, and T loops).
Source: RNAcentral